Molecule: ribosomal RNA, 253 nt
Filed under: uncultured bacterium
Lineage: Bacteria
Description: partial 16S ribosomal RNA
Rfam family: Bacterial small subunit ribosomal RNA
Source: RNAcentral
UACGAAGGGGACUAGCGUUGCUCGGAAUUACUGGGCGUAAAGCGCACGUAGGCGGCUUGUUAAGUCGGGGGUGAAAUCCUGGAGCUCAACUCCAGAACUGCCUUCGAUACUGGCGAGCUCGAGUUCGGGAGAGGUGAGUGGAACUGCGAGUGUAGAGGUGAAAUUCGUAGAUAUUCGCAAGAACACCAGUGGCGAAGGCGGCUCACUGGCCCGAUACUGACGCUGAGGUGCGAAAGCGUGGGGAGCAAACGGG